Small nuclear RNA from Sorex araneus (European shrew), 107 nucleotides. Lineage: Eukaryota; Metazoa; Chordata; Mammalia; Eulipotyphla; Soricidae. The record is from RefSeq and is a predicted model, not a curated record.
GUGCUCACUUUGGCAGCACAUACAAUAAAAUUGGAAUAAUAUAGAGAAAAUUAGCAAAACUCAUGGGCAAGGAAAACACAAAUUUUUGAAACCUACAUCAGUCAGUU